CCUAUUUCUUCUUGUAAAAUUACCCCUUUUACCUGGGAUGCCCUGGGGUAGCGGGUGAUGGGGCUAGGUCUCAGUGGCUUCUGUAAGCUGCUGUCUGUUCACCUCAUGGCAGCUGACCUGGCUCCCUGUCCUAUCCCUGGCUGCCACCCAGCACAGAGGGAGUAGGGAGAUCUUCACGCUUAGGAAUUUGAAUUAUUUUUCCUCUGAUAUUGUUAUGUCACCUUUAUUUUUGUUAAUAUUUCUCUGCUACAGUUUUUCUAAUUUAUUAUUUCCAACUUUUGCC
This 283-nucleotide long non-coding RNA is filed under the name Homo sapiens (human). RNAcentral's name for it is "HSALNT0039612". Lineage: Eukaryota; Metazoa; Chordata; Mammalia; Primates; Hominidae. The record is from RNAcentral.